GACGAACCGUCCAAACGUUAUUCGGAAUCACUGGGCUUACAGAGUUCGUAGGCGGUCUGGAAAGUUGGGUGUGAAAUCCCUCGGCUCAACCGAGGAACUGCGCUCAAAACUACCCGACUCGAGGGAGAUAGAGGAAAGCGGAACUGAUGGUGGAGCGGUGAAAUGCGUUGAUAUCAUCAGGAACACCUGCGGCGAAGGCGGGUUGCUGGGCUGAUACUGACGCUGAGGCGCGAAAGCCAGGGGAGCGAACGGG
This 253-nucleotide ribosomal RNA is filed under the name uncultured bacterium. RNAcentral describes it as "partial 16S ribosomal RNA". It matches the Rfam family "Bacterial small subunit ribosomal RNA", at positions 524 to 776 of the family's 1533-position model. The record is from RNAcentral.